RNAcentral lists this ribosomal RNA (1503 nucleotides) under Triticum aestivum (bread wheat). RNAcentral describes it as "partial small subunit ribosomal RNA". Lineage: Eukaryota; Viridiplantae; Streptophyta; Magnoliopsida; Poales; Poaceae. The record is from RNAcentral.
AUGGAUUACUGUCCGACCUGUAAGGAAUGUAGAUGGAAAUCUGCUGCAACUGAUGAAUCAGAUGUCGAGAGGACAAACUAUAAAGGGAAGAAGCAAGUGGCCCGUAAUGUUCUAAUUUAUUUCCCACUCACUCCACGGCUACAACAUCUAUUUAUGACCGAGGCUACAUCAUCAUAUAUGAGAUGGCAUAAGGACGACCAUGUGGAUGAUGGUAUAAUGCGGCACCCUGCAGAUUCUUUGGCAUGGAAGCAUUUUGAUAACAUUUAUUCUAAAGGAUUCUCUUCGGAUGCACGGAAUGUAAGGCUUGGGCUUGCAUCUGAUGGGUUCAACCCAUAUGGGAUAAUGAAUGUGUCAUACUCUUGUUGGCCAGUGAUUCUAAUUCCAUAUAACAUGCCUCCUUGGUUGUGUUUGAAACAACCAUAUUGGUUAAUGUCGAUGAUAAUUCCUGGAAAAAAGUCACCAGGAAAUAACAUCGAUGUAUAUCUACAGCCUUUGAUAGAUGAACUCAAAGAUCUAUGGUAUGUUGGUGCCGACACAUAUGAUGCCACAACGAAGAAGAAAUUUCAGAUGCAUGCAGCCCUCAUGUGGACAAUUAAUGAUUUCCCAGCUUAUGCAAUGCUAUCUGGUUGGAGCACAAAAGGAAAACUAGCAUGCCCAUAUUGCCACAUGCACACAGACCAUUUAUGGUUGAAAUAUGGACGCAAGUACUGUUACAUGGGUCAUCGCCAUUUUCUAAGUUGUGACCACAAGUGGCGUAGAAACAAGAGUUGCUUCAAUAACGAGACAGAAAAUAGAGAUGCUCCGGUGCCACUCUCGGGCAAUGACAUGGUACAACAACAUGCAAGUUUUGAGCAGGAAACCUUUGGGAAAACUAGAAAGAGGAAGCGUGAUGAUGAUAAUAAGUGGCAUAAUUGGAGGAAGAAGAGUAUAUUUUUUGAUCUCCCUUAUUGGAAGAACUUGCUUGUUAGGCAUAAUUUGGAUGUAAUGCACAUUGAGAAGAACAUUUGUGACAUCUUUUUAGGGACAUUGCUUGAUAUGGAUGGUAAAUCAAAGGAUACUCUGAAGGCCCGUCUUGAUUUGCAGGACUUAAAGAUAAGGAAGGAUCUGCAUCCAAAUGUCAGUAAUGGAAAGUAUACUUUAAAUCUAGCUUGCUAUAAUGUGACAAAGGAUGAGAAGAAAAUGCUAUUCAAGUUUUUGCAUGGUGUAAGGAUGCCCGAUGGUUAUGCAUCAAACCUAAAAAGAUGUGUGUACCUCGAAGGUUGUAAGGUGUCUGGGCUCGAAACUCAUGACUGCCAUGUCCUCUUUCAGAAACUUCUUCCCAUUUGGGUACGCAAUAUACUGCCCAAGAAAUUUGUUGUCCCAUUCCUCGAGCUAAGCCUAUUCUUUGCUGCGAUUUAUUCCAAGGAAUUAAAUCUUGAAGAGCUAGCAAAGUUGAGUCGUACAAUUCCAGAAACUCUCUGUCAACUUGAGAUGAUCCUUCCACCCCAGUUAUUUAUAUCAUGA